Long non-coding RNA from Physella acuta, 540 nucleotides. RefSeq lists it as uncharacterized. The record is from RefSeq and is a predicted model, not a curated record. NCBI's taxonomy places the organism in Eukaryota, Metazoa, Mollusca, Gastropoda, Physidae.
UCCAACUACAAGGGUUGAACAUGGAGUUGUAGCUAAAGUUAAAGGAGCUGUCCUACCAAGGGAAGUAACUUGAAAACAUUUCAUGUGAAGUCAAGAGAAACAUGUUACAGACAGGAGUAACUUAGAUCACAAAGGAUAGUUCAGCUUGUUUGGAACAGCCGUAUGUCAGAUUCUCUCUAAGGAUUUCAUAUCAAGCUAAGAGGAAGGCAUAUUGUACCAUUGAGGUAAGUUGAAUGAUAGUUUAUACAAUUCUAUGGAUUAUUUAAAAACGUGGUUUUUUUCCGAAAAUGAAGCAAAACUGAUGUAUGAUGUCCAGUCCAGGAAAGAAACGACAAGAAAAAGACGUGUUGAAGGUUCCUUCCAUUCGGCGAUUUAUACUCUAUGCCAAGAGGAACACAUUUUGUUCAAAAACUUGUCAAACUGGUGAAGACACAUAGGGCCUAGUUGAGCAUGGUUAUUGAGGUAAAGCAGAUGUAGCCAAGGGAAGAAACUUGAAAACAAGAUUUACUAUGCAAUGCUAAGGGAGGCUAAUCUUGUUCA